Long non-coding RNA from Polypterus senegalus (gray bichir), 212 nucleotides. RefSeq lists it as uncharacterized. NCBI's taxonomy places the organism in Eukaryota, Metazoa, Chordata, Cladistia, Polypteriformes, Polypteridae. The transcript has 3 exons. The record is from RefSeq and is a predicted model, not a curated record.
GUCAGCACCACCGCCAUGAUGAGAUUCACCGCCCUGCUGGUUCUACUGUGCCUGUGCUCGAUGGCGAUGGCCUCUAUUUCUGACUUUCCAGCUGAUCCGCAGGAGGAAUCGCCUUCAACCAUAAAAGCUGCGAGAGCUGGUGAGGUGAGGGGAAACAUGAGAGCAGAAGGAGGAGGAUAUGGAGGAACAUUUGCAGGAAGAUCAGGAGGAGG